GGAGGGUGCAAGCGUUAUCCGGAUUCACUGGGUUUAAAGGGUGCGUAGGUGGGUUGGUAAGUCAGUGGUGAAAUCUCCGAGCUUAACUUGGAAACUGCCGUUGAUACUAUCAAUCUUGAAUAUCGCGUAGGUAAGCGGAAUAUGUCAUGUAGCGGUGAAAUGCUUAGAUAUGACAUAGAACACCAAUUGCGAAGGCAGCUUACUUCACGAUCAUUGACACUGAGGCACGAAAGCGUGGGGAGCAAACAGGAUUAGAUACCCUGGUAGUCCACGCCCUAAACGAUGGAUACUCGACAUUAGCGAUACACUGUUAGUGUCUGAGCGAAAGCAUUAAGUAUCCCACCUGGGAAGUACGACCGCAAGGUUGAA
Molecule: ribosomal RNA, 369 nt
Filed under: uncultured bacterium
Lineage: Bacteria
Description: bacterial SSU rRNA
Rfam family: Bacterial small subunit ribosomal RNA
Source: RNAcentral